RNAcentral lists this ribosomal RNA (517 nucleotides) under uncultured Metschnikowiaceae. RNAcentral describes it as "eukaryotic LSU rRNA". It matches the Rfam family "Eukaryotic large subunit ribosomal RNA", at positions 20 to 480 of the family's 3401-position model. Lineage: Eukaryota; Fungi; Ascomycota; Saccharomycetes. The record is from RNAcentral.
ACUACCCGCUGAACUUAAGCAUAUCAAUAAGCGGAGGAAAAGAAACCAACAGGGAUUGCCUCAGUAAUGGCGAGUGAAGCGGCAAAAGCUCAAAUUUGAAAUCCCCCGGGAAUUGUAAUUUGAAGAGAUUUGGGUCCGGCCGGCAGGGGUUAAGUCCACUGGAAAGUGGCGCCACAGAGGGUGACAGCCCCGUGAACCCCCUCAACGCCUUCAUCCCAGAUCUCCAAGAGUCGAGUUGUUUGGGAAUGCAGCUCUAAGUGGGUGGUAAAUUCCAUCUAAAGCUAAAUACCGGCGAGAGACCGAUAGCGAACAAGUACAGUGAUGGAAAGAUGAAAAGCACUUUGAAAAGAGAGUGAAAAAGUACGUGAAAUUGUUGAAAGGGAAGGGCUUGCAAGCAGACACUUAACUGGGCCAGCAUCGGGGCGGCGGGGAGCAAAACCACCGGGGAAUGUACCUUUCGAGGAUUAUAACCCCGGCCCUUACUCCCAUACUGCCCCGAGGCCUGCAAUCUAAGGAU